CCUACGGGGCGCUGCAGUGAGGAAUAUUGGUCAAUGGGCGCAAGCCUGAACCAGCCAAGUCGCGUGAGGGAUGACGGUCCUAUGGAUUGUAAACCUCUUUUGUCGGGGAGCAAGGCCCGCCACGUGUGGCGGGAAGGAGAGUACCCGAAGAAAAAGCAUCGGCUAACUCCGUGCCAGCAGCCGCGGUAAUACGGAGGAUGCGAGCGUUAUCCGGAUUUAUUGGGUUUAACGGGUGCGUAGGCGGAAUGUUAAGUCAGCGGUCAAAUGUCGGUGCUCAACACCGGCCUGCCGUUGAAACUGGUUUUCUAGAGUGAGCGAGAAGUAUGCGGAAUGCGUGGUGGAGCGGUGAAAUGCAUAGAUAUCACGCAGAACUCCGAUUGCGAAGGCAGCAUACCGGCGCUCAACUGACGCUCAUGGACGAAAGUGUGGGUAUCGAACAGGAUUAGAUACCCGGGUAGUC
RNAcentral lists this ribosomal RNA (460 nucleotides) under uncultured bacterium. RNAcentral's name for it is "partial 16S ribosomal RNA". It matches the Rfam family "Bacterial small subunit ribosomal RNA", at positions 338 to 795 of the family's 1533-position model. The record is from RNAcentral.